AAGACCCUUGUUUGUUUCCUGGCAAUAGCUUCCUGAACCCUGACUUUGUGUAUAUAGUUGUAAACAUGGAUUUUUCUGGGUUUUGGUUUUCUUUUUUUCCUUCCCCUGCUUUGGCUUGUUCUUUUUGGUUUGCAUCUAACCUGCUAGGUGGAUGUCUGCAGAAUUCUCUGUGUCCUGUGCAGUCAGCUUUCGUUCGUUCUCCCAGCUCUGUUGCAUAGCAGUCCCUCAGCAUGUUUUUCUGGAAAAAAGAAAAAACUGGCUUGCCUGUCGCCCCCAGGGGCCAGUCAAGGGCCACUGAGGGAUCAAGCUCUCAGCAACACGACGCGUUUCUGCCGCCACUUCUGGCUGACUGUGUGUCCUGUGACCAACAGCUUGCUUGGCUGGUUUAUGCCUCCUCAUCUUGACCUUUUUAGCAGACUGCCAGCUGCUUCCUACUAAGGUUCAGUCUGGGAUGGCUGGUGGCUCUGCCUGGAACUGGGGGUGGGAUCCACAAGCCUGGGCCCAGGACCCUUGUCCUAAGGGGGUACAGCUGCUUCCCCUGGAGGGUGGAUUUGUAAAGUCCCAAAACCCUGGCAAGUGCCCUGAGAACAGGGUCUAGGAGAGCCAGACCUUUCUAGGUGGAACAUGGGGCCCACCAAGGCUCCUCACUGGCUCUGUCUGGGCGGAGUGAAGACCAGUCCCUGCUGUUGACACGGGCCCCUUCACAGCUGACAGACGGAAGACUAUCGUGUGAUGUGUCUGGUUUUUUCAGUGCUCUGGAGUCUGCACACAUGCCCUCCUGACGGUGAGGCCCAGUUAGAUUAUGACAAGUCCCAGGUGUGGAAAGUGUGGGUUGGGACCAGAUCCCGUCACGUUCAUGGUCUCCAUGCUGCCCCAGGAGGUGUCCGGCGGGGUGUAGGCACCACCACUUUGCACUGUACACGUCACUAGGGCAUCCUAUGAACUGCACUGGCCUUCUGGUUUAUGUCUUGGGUAAGCAUUUUCAUGCCCUCUGCUUACUGUGACAGUCGACGACAAAUCUUAAGCUGCCAUCUUUGCUGUGGGUAAGUCGGUGUGCUGUCUUGUCUUGCUUUCUCUUCUCACUGCCCCACAGUUCAGUUUUGUGUUAAAAACAGAAAAGCUGUUCAAGGGUCCCAUCCCGGCAUAUUUUCCCUCUUCACUGUAACCCUUUCUCAUCCCACAUCAAAAGUUACCACAGAAGGUUUCCUUUGUAUAGAAUAUUUAUUUUGAAGCUCUAUUUUAAUAGUAUUUAUUUUAGAAAGUCUACUAUUGUAAGAGUUCUUCUGUUUGUGAAGAAAAAGCAAGUUAAAAACUGAAUGUACUGAUCUAGAAAAUAUAUAUAAAUAUAUAUUGUUAAAUAUACAUAGG
Molecule: long non-coding RNA, 1368 nt
Filed under: Bos taurus (domestic cattle)
Lineage: Eukaryota; Metazoa; Chordata; Mammalia; Artiodactyla; Bovidae
Description: long non-coding RNA NONBTAT023380
Source: RNAcentral